CCAAUCCCUCCGAGGAUAUGGGUGGUUUGUCCCCCCCCCAAUACGACCCACAGGAGCGUUUCAUAAAGAAGCGCCCCCUAGUGGUGGCCGGAAAUACGUCCUCAUAUUUAAACCAGAGAAGGUA
Molecule: long non-coding RNA, 124 nt
Organism: Sander lucioperca (pikeperch)
Lineage: Eukaryota; Metazoa; Chordata; Actinopteri; Perciformes; Percidae
Exons: 3
Source: RefSeq, a predicted model, not a curated record